Long non-coding RNA from Lolium perenne, 786 nucleotides. RefSeq lists it as uncharacterized. Lineage: Eukaryota; Viridiplantae; Streptophyta; Magnoliopsida; Poales; Poaceae. The record is from RefSeq and is a predicted model, not a curated record.
CGGCGUUUCGGCUCAUAUGACCAGAUGAUCAUAUUAUCUCAACCGUCCAGUAUUGUGUGGGGAUCUGUUCUGUCAGGUUUUGUCAGGCGAGGUCGUCACUUUGAAAAUGAGCUAUACGAGUAAAGCGGGCGCACUGUUCAUCGGUACGUAGACCAAUAAAUGAUGUGGGUGAGCUCCUCCGUCCAUGACGUAACGACGAUUUUCUUGAGCCGGUGGAGCAGGAAAUUGGAAGAAAAUCUGGACUGCCGGUCCAAGAUUUCGUCUUGCGUUUAGUUUCUACUUAGAGUGGCUGUAAGGUGUUAAGAACGAGUGAGCAGCUGGCAAAAUUUUGGCGACCGCGUCGGCGGAGCAACGUCGCCGCCUACUACUGGAGGUUGGAGCCAUGGAUUUCCCUACGAAUCCGGUAGAAAGGUUCGAGUUCGGUGACUCGACCGCUAUGUAGUCCUUAUUGAGGCGGAAGGAAAAGAGUGGCGUGGCUGCUGUGGUGGAGGGGAAAGGCGGCUCUGCCAGGUGCUGACUCGCCGCCGCGACCUGUGAUGUAUCUGGGAUGCAUUUUCCGCUAUAUCCAGUAGAAAGGCUCGAUUUUGUUGAAUCAAGCAGGUGUUCCGGCAGGUGUUGUUUGGUUUCAGAUUCAGAAUAAUGCCAGUGGCAGGUCCAAGCAGGCCGACCUGAGAUGAUAAAAAUGUUUUUAUGCAAUGAAAUUUGACAUGGUAAACCAGUAAGGUAUAGCACUCGUCCAAUGUCACAACCGGCAAUGAUCCGUUCGCGGCCUAAAACCUCUGGCCA